GCCUUCGUGGUGCAACGGUAGCACAUUCGGUGCCUAUACGAAAGGCCCAGGUUCGAGUCCCGGCGAAGGCA
This is a non-coding RNA of Stegodyphus dumicola, 71 nucleotides long. Lineage: Eukaryota; Metazoa; Arthropoda; Arachnida; Araneae; Eresidae. The record is from the annotation of a RefSeq genome assembly.